GCGAGUUUAAGCAUAAAUAAGGCCACAGCUUCUAAAUACCAAGAUUACUAAUAAAUGCGGCAAGUUUGUAUUCAAUUUCUCUGCAUAUAAAACAAAUAAAUAGAUAUAUCUAUGACAUGAUUCUCAACACAACAUAAUAAUCUUAAAAUAUAAAGAAUAGCGAAAACAAUAUCGGUUUAUCACAUAGAGAUACAAAUAAAUACCAAACUUUGAACCAAAAACAGAUUACAUCUCACCAACCCCUUCCAAAAAUCAUUCUUUAAAUUAAAAUGUGAAGGAGAUAUGAACUCAAAUCUCUCCAGGCCUCAAACUAAAUAAAAAGAAACAUAUUUUUUAAACAUCACUUUCAUGAUAGCUAAAAAUAAGUGAGUAUUAUACUUGACGCAUGGUUUUUCUUACAAUAGGCAUAACAUUUUCACGAAGACAAUAAUAGAAGUAAAAGUAAAGGGACAAAGAUCACCUGCUGCGGGGUAGUGAACGGGGGCUUGCGGUCUCGAUCUUAGAUCUACUUACUAACUCUGAUGACCACCGUUAAUGGUCGAAACGAACACACAAACUAUUGCUGCGACUGGAAUGCCAAAGAAAAUGGUAAAAUACGAAAAUAGAAGAGAUGGUUUAGAGGAGAAAUAACUAAAAAUUUUAGAGGUGAGGGGCUGCCAGAUUUUGAAAAAAAUCCUCCCAAAUAAGCUCUGAAAUGUAAGUAUUUAUAGGGAAAAAUUAGGGUUCUUCAUUUGUG
Molecule: long non-coding RNA, 736 nt
Filed under: Solanum tuberosum (potato)
Lineage: Eukaryota; Viridiplantae; Streptophyta; Magnoliopsida; Solanales; Solanaceae
Description: long non-coding RNA (STUB_LNC011870)
Source: RNAcentral